AGCCUUAUGGUGUAAUGGUAGCACAUGUGAUUUUGGUUCAUCUAGUCUAGGUUCGAAUCCUGGUAAGGCUACAA
This 74-nucleotide transfer RNA is filed under the name Flavobacteriales bacterium. RNAcentral describes it as "tRNA-Gln". It matches the Rfam family "tRNA". From Rfam's summary of the family: Transfer RNA (tRNA) molecules are approximately 80 nucleotides in length. Their secondary structure includes four short double-helical elements and three loops (D, anti-codon, and T loops). Lineage: Bacteria; Pseudomonadati; Bacteroidota; Flavobacteriia; Flavobacteriales. The record is from RNAcentral.